GUAGUCUGCAACCCGACUACAUGAAGCUGGAAUCGCUAGUAAUCGCAGAUCAGAAUGCUGCGGUGAAUACGUUCCCGGGUCUUGUACACACCGCCCGUCACACCAUGGGAGUUGGAAAUGCCCGAAGCCAGUGACCCAACCGUAAGGAGGGAGCUGUCGAAGGUGGAGCCGAUGACUGGGGUGAAGUCGUAACAAGGUAAC
RNAcentral lists this ribosomal RNA (201 nucleotides) under uncultured bacterium. Its description in RNAcentral is "partial 16S ribosomal RNA". It matches the Rfam family "Bacterial small subunit ribosomal RNA", at positions 1300 to 1500 of the family's 1533-position model. The record is from RNAcentral.